CCGCGCAUCCCUUUGUUCCAAUA
RNAcentral lists this microRNA (23 nucleotides) under Caenorhabditis briggsae. RNAcentral's name for it is "Cbr-Mir-87-o2_5p* (star (passenger))". The record is from RNAcentral. Lineage: Eukaryota; Metazoa; Nematoda; Chromadorea; Rhabditida; Rhabditidae.